CCCUUAGAUGUUCUGGGCCGCACGCGCGCUACACUGAUGCAUUCAACGAGCCUAUCCUUGACCGACAGGCCCGGGUAAUCUUUGAAUCUGCAUCGUGACGGGGAUAGAUUAUUGCAAUUAUUAAUCUUCAACGAGGAAUGCCUAGUAGGCGCAAGUCAUCAGCUUGCGUCGAUUACGUCCCUGCCCUUUGUACACACCGCCCGUCGCUCCUACCGAUUGGGUGUGCUGGUGAAAUGUUCGGAUCGGCCGUUUGUCGCGGUUUCCGCGGCUCGUGGCUGAGAAGUUCAUUAAACCCUCCCACCUAGAGGAAGGAGAAGUCGUAACA
This 325-nucleotide ribosomal RNA is filed under the name uncultured eukaryote. RNAcentral's name for it is "partial 18S ribosomal RNA". It matches the Rfam family "Eukaryotic small subunit ribosomal RNA", at positions 1470 to 1796 of the family's 1831-position model. The record is from RNAcentral.